CCUACGGGUGGCUGCAGUAGGGAAUAUUGGACAAUGGGGGAAACCCUGAUCCAGCGACGCCGCGUGAGUGAAGAAGUAUUUCGGUACGUAAAGCUCUAUCAGCAGGGAAGAAAAGGACGGUACCUGACUAAGAAGCCCCGGCUAACUACGUGCCAGCAGCGGCGGUAAUACGUAGGGAGCAAGCGUUAUCCGGAUUUACUGGGGGUAAAGGGAGCGUAGACGGCAGCGCAAGUCUGGAGUGAAAGGCGGGGGCCCAACCCCGGAACUGCUCUGGAAACUGUGAAGCUGGAGUGCAGUAGAGGUAAGCGGAAUUCCUGGUGUAUCGGUGAAAUGCGUAGAUAUCAGGAGGAACACCGGUGGCGAAGGCGGCUUACUGGACUGUAACUGACGUUGAGGCUCGAAGGCGUGGGGAGCAAACAGGAUUAGAUACCCGAGUAGUC
RNAcentral lists this ribosomal RNA (440 nucleotides) under uncultured bacterium. RNAcentral's name for it is "partial 16S ribosomal RNA". It matches the Rfam family "Bacterial small subunit ribosomal RNA", at positions 338 to 795 of the family's 1533-position model. The record is from RNAcentral.